Molecule: long non-coding RNA, 1872 nt
Filed under: Equus caballus (horse)
Lineage: Eukaryota; Metazoa; Chordata; Mammalia; Perissodactyla; Equidae
Description: lncRNA (ENSECAG00000057797.1)
Source: RNAcentral
GCCAGAUGCCCGGGAGCUGGGCGGGGCAGGCUCCUGGCCCCCGGGCAGCACAGGCUGCGGGGUGGUGGGAUCCCGUCUGCCCCGCCCAGCCCCAGCUCCGCGGCUGCCAGGCUCAGCUGUUUGCUUACUCAGAAUUAGCAACGGUCCACAGCAGGUUCAUUGGAGAAGCUGGUCCCCAGCGCCAGGCAGACCCCUCUCCCCCUGAAGCCUCAUGGAGAAGGAGGCAACCUCCCCAAGACACCCCGAUUCGUGCUCUGUUCCCGGGCCCUCCUCUCCUUCUCCACAGCCCUGCCCAGUCUGGCCCCUGGCUGGCUGUCCCCGGCUCCUCACUGGUGGCUCUGCAUCCACCCUGCCCUCUUCCAUCCACCCCACUCAGAGCAGGAAAAUAUGACAAUACAACAGUAGUGUGGAAUCCUCUCCCCACCUUCCUCUACCUGGCAAACCCCAGUUCAUCCAUCACGCCCAACGUCAACGCCCCCUUCUCCAGAAGGUUUUCCCCACCACCGCCAGGCUGGGUUCUCCUUCUGGCUCCCACUGCCCCCCGUGCUCAGUCCUCCUUAUUCCACGCACAUUGUAUUACAGGGAUGAGACAAAUACUGCAGGCGUGCCCCCCAGCCCCCACUGUCCACGGCAGACAUCACUAAACGAUCGGGCGCUCUUCCCAACGAACCUGGAUACGGCUCAGGAUCACAGCUCUCUAGGACUAAGAGUGAUUGCAAAGAGAGGAGAGGAAGGGGGCCUGGCACUGAGGAAGCGCUCACGCUCAUGGAGGCUCAUCCUACUCCCAGCCCUGAGAGACCCUCCUUGACCGCCUGGCCCUGUCCCCCACCUUCAGAGGAGACAACUGUCUUCCAGAAGAAGGCGUCCGCCCAAAGCCGCAGGGAAAGACCAGCGGUGCCACCCGGGACCGGAAGAGCCCCCUCGCUCCCCCUCCCCACAGCUGAGCCUCUCCAGCAACAAAAUGGCUGCAGCAGUGCUGGGCAUCACAUCUGAGUAACCCAUUGCACAGAGGAGCCUUCUCUUCUCCCUAUAUGGACUGGAUGUCCUGGCCUCAUUUAGCCAAGUGCUCAUCCCUGAAUCAAUCACUGGACAAGAGGAAUGGGCUUCAGCCAAUGAGAGCCCACCCCGGGGAUGGAAUCAGAAUGUCUUCCCCAAAACCUGUGGCAAUGUCCUCUCCCUAGUAACACUCGUCCCACCUACCCCCACCCGAUUUUUCCCUGCUAAGAAAACUUUGAUGUGUCCCUAUGGCACUGGUGAUCCACUGAUCUUCGGGAGGGUAGGGCCCUACCUGAGCCCUUGGGGUGACUCUUGAUUGGUGGAAAGGCCAUGUGACCUUAUUCCUCGUCACUAACAAUUGCUUCAGGAAUGGCUGUAUGACUUGGUUCUGGCUAAUGAGAUGCAAGUAAAGAAUCUGCUGGGUCGGGCUUCUAGGAGAGCUUUGCUUUUCUCAUAUAAAGAACAGACCUGGCUGGCAUGUCCCUUUGCCCCAUUUCUUCUUUAAACCUAGGAGAAGGACUUGAUACCUGGAGGUGUGGUAGCCAUCUUGGGGCCAUGAGGCAACAACUGUGAAAACAAAUGCCACCGUGCCAGAGAGGGCAGAACAGAAAGCUGAAGCCUGAAGCCUAGACAGCACUGUUGGGCAGCUGAGCAUGCCCUGGACUGCUGGCUUAAGUAAAAAAUUAGAAGUUCAUUCUUGUUUAAGCCAAAGGCAUUCCUAACUGACGCAAAGCCAAGUCAUUUUUUGCAAACUAGCACUUGUGAGAACGGGAGACACAGCCUUGGAGAUGCCGCUCGAGUUUCACUGAAUCUUAGACACUUCCUCAAACACGUUCUGCCCCAGGAAUGUCUGCGAGAACGCGGAUCAGACAAGCC